RNAcentral lists this transfer RNA (69 nucleotides) under Alosa alosa (allis shad). Its description in RNAcentral is "tRNA-OTHER". The record is from RNAcentral. Lineage: Eukaryota; Metazoa; Chordata; Actinopteri; Clupeiformes; Clupeidae.
GCAGCCGUGGCCUACUGGUUAGCGCUUCGCUUGUAACUGGAGGGUUGCCGGUUCGAACCCCGCCGACCA